AUACGGAGGAUCCGAGCGUUAUCCGGAUUUAUUGGGUUUAAAGGGUGCGCAGGCGGCCAUUUAAGUCAGCGGUUAAAUCGUGGGGCUCAACCCCAUUCUGCCGUUGAUACUGGGUGGCUUGAUUGCGGUCGAGGUUGGCGGAAUUCGUUGUGUAGCGGUGAAAUGCAUUGAUAUGACGAAGAACACCGAUUGCGUAGGCAGCUGACCAGACCGCAAAUGACGCUCAUGCACGAAAGUGCGGGGAUCGAACAGGAUUAGAUACCCUGGUAGUCCGCACAGUAAACGAUGAAUACUUGUUUUCGGCGAUAUAAUGUCGGAGGCAAAGCGAAAGCGAUAAGUAUUCCACCUGGGGAGUACGCCGGCAACGGUGAAACUCAAAGGAAUUGACGGGG
RNAcentral lists this ribosomal RNA (392 nucleotides) under uncultured bacterium. RNAcentral's name for it is "partial 16S ribosomal RNA". It matches the Rfam family "Bacterial small subunit ribosomal RNA", at positions 523 to 918 of the family's 1533-position model. The record is from RNAcentral.